This is an RNA transcript of Tripterygium wilfordii, 2282 nucleotides long. It is a transcript of the gene named pentatricopeptide repeat-containing protein At2g27800, mitochondrial-like, with no coding region annotated. The transcript has 2 exons. The record is from RefSeq and is a predicted model, not a curated record. Lineage: Eukaryota; Viridiplantae; Streptophyta; Magnoliopsida; Celastrales; Celastraceae.
CUAGAAGCCCACAGAGGAAUCGCAGAAGCUACAUCAAAGCAAACCAUAACCACCAUCGUCGGUUAUCAAAUUCGGCUUAUUAACCAGAACAACGUCCGGGCGGUUUCUGUACAUUUGCUCGCGUCCGGCGUCCAUUGUGAUGCGCGUCGGGCGUCCAUUCCUAAAAUAUGGGCUCUAGAUGGGAUUUUAUGAAAAUCUUUCUGAAAAGUUAAUGGAAUUAGGCCUGUGCAAAGAAGACUCUCUUCCUUCGCUUACCUCACUCCUCGAGAUUCAGUUCAUGGAUUCUCAAAUUCACUAAGGAAAAUCUGCGCGACAGCAGCGCCGAGGUUAGCUCUUCAGUCGCUAUCUUUUCCUUUUCUGAGAUUCAGCUAUUCGAGCUAUACAAGCAGUGUUUUCUUUUUGUCAGAUUCGAAGUUAUUACUUGCAUAUAGAUUAAGUUGAGUUUGUGCAGUCACAGACCGUUUAUGGUUCUUGGCUUUUGAUGACAUGAUUGCUGCUCGGAAAAAUUGUUUGAGUAAUAGUUACUCAAACAAAUAUUUUAUCAGUAAUUGGUGCUUUAGACCUCCAUUGAACCGGAGUUAUUGGCAUUUUAGAAGCUUUUCUUCGUAUGAACAUGGUGCAUCGAACUUGUUGGCCCGAUAUUCUGUUGUCCCUUGUGAUUUGAAACUGAUAAACAACAAAUUGGGGGCUUCAAUUCAUUUUAAUGGAACCCAAUUUGACCCGAGUUUCAAGAUUCCUCCAAAUGCAUGUUUACACCGGUAUGGGUUGAUUCCCUUCUUUUCAUUGUACUCAACUAAAGCCCCAUCAAGGCAGCUGAGGAGGGGGUACCAAGGAAAAUCAAAGUCUAACAGCAAACCUGUCCUUGACGAAGCUCAAUUUCAGGGAGCAGUUUCUCAGCUGCAGCCAAGAUUCACUAAUGAAGAACUUUUGAGUGUCAUAAACCUGCAGGGAGAUCCUGUGGUGUGUUUGGAGUUGUUCAAUUGGGCGUCGCAGCAGCCUAGAUUUAGGCAUGAUGUCUCUACUUAUCACAUCACGAUCAGGAAGCUUGGUACAGCUAAAAUGUACAAAGAAAUGGAUGAUAUUGUUAACCAAGUGCUUGCGGUUCCUUCCGUUGGCAAUGAGGCUCUUUUCAACAACAUAAUAUAUUUUUUUACUGAGGCUAGGAAGUUGACUAGAGCUGUGAAUAUAUUUAAAUACAUGAAGAAUAAUAGAAAAUUGGAUUGCAGGCCUUCGGUUAGAACGUAUAAUAUUCUCUUCACGGCAUUAUUGAGUAGAGGGAGCAAUUCUCUUAUCAAUCAUGUAUAUAUGGAGACUAUUAGAUCCCUGUUCAAGCAAAUGGUUAAUGAUGGGAUUGAACCUGAUAUAUUCUCGUUAAAUGCUAUGAUAAAAGGAUAUGUUCUUUCGCUUCAUCUUAAUGAUGCUCUGAGAAUAUUCCAUCAGAUGGGUACAGUUUAUAGUUGCCCACCUAACUCAUAUUCCUAUGAUUAUCUGAUCCAUGGGUUAUGCGCACAAGAGAGAACGGAUAAUGCAACGGCAUUGUGUGAUGAAAUGAAGAGAAAUGGUUUUGUCCCAAGCAGCAAAUCGUACAACUCACUUGUGAAUGCUUUAGCUCUUAAUGGGGAGGUCGAUGAGGCAAUCAAUUUCCUGUGGGAGAUGAUUGGGAAACGCAAAUCAGCCGAUUUCAUCACAUACAAGACAAUUCUUGAUGAGAUCUGCCGAAGUGGAAGAGCUCAAGAAGCAGUGAGAUUUUUAAAGGAGUUGCAAGAGAAAGACGUUGUGGAUGGGCAUACUUACCGGAAGCUGCAAUAUGUUCUCGAAGAUGAUUUUGGAAUUUCAAAUGGCAGGAAUCACUUCAGGUAUUGAGCGUUGGUGUUCUGUCUUUCUGGAUUUGGUGAAGUUUACUUGCUCUUUAUCUUAUGCUGGAGUCUGUCUAUUCAUGUGCAUUCAAAGCUGAUGCCCAUAUUUAGAAGAAUUGUAUGCAGUUGGCAGCUGUUCAUGCAAGAAUCUAGGAUCUAACUCCUAAGUUGAUGAAAUAUUCCAUAGUUUGAACUGUGGAAGAACUCUUUCAAUGAGAUGGAGAGGGCUAAAGCUGCAUGGUGUUCUGCCAUUACAAUGUAAUAUGUUAAGUUGCAUAUUCCAUUGUAAUGCAUUUAUAUGCCUUGCUCUUUAUUCAUAACUUGGUUGUAUAAUAUUUUGUCAUGUAUAUGAAACAUUACAGUAAUUCAACAUAGUCCUGAGAAUAACUUGUUUAAGAUCUUUUACGCUUGGCUGCUGCAAGACUA